Molecule: long non-coding RNA, 911 nt
Filed under: Populus trichocarpa (black cottonwood)
Lineage: Eukaryota; Viridiplantae; Streptophyta; Magnoliopsida; Malpighiales; Salicaceae
Description: long non-coding RNA (PTRI_LNC002526)
Source: RNAcentral
AAUAAAAACUUGGAAUUUCACCCAAGUCUCUGGCCGGUACAGAUCAAUAAUCAAAGCAAGACAGAGAUGCUUGGGGAGAAAUAUAAUUAAACAACAAAAAAAAGUAGCAAACCAAAGUCUUUCUUUUAUCCCCAAUACAUAGCGAAGCAAAUAGAACAUGAUAGGUGUAAGUGAUGCAUGCCUAGCAGCAUUACCAACAUUUCCAUACAGGCCCCUAGCUAAUUCAAGACCAGACUAGCAAGACUCACCUUAACAAGGUAGCUACCUUGUAUGCAUCUCUUACAUCCCAUGUCUAAUAUAACAUGAAGUAACAAGAAAAAGGAAAAGAAACAAAAAAGAACAACCAGAGGCGAAGACGUAAUAAACACAGAGAGCAUAAGGUAAAACAAGGAAUAUGAUGAAAAAUAAAAGACCUAAAGUUAAGGUAAAUCGGACCGCUACCCUCAAUUCCCCGCGAUGCAAUCAUGCACUCUCCCAAUUCUGCCCUUUACUAGGCUAGAAACUCAGGAGAGUGCAAUUGCAAAGCCUUGUUUGUGUGUUCUUUUGCCAUAUGUUUCACCCAUAUUUACCAAAGAACUCUUCUACUCCUUGAUGCCACCACGACCACCCACCACUUCCUUUGUAGCCACCACCAUAGUUGGCGGACUCCCUCCGGUUACCACCGAUCAUGAUUGACAUUACCAAGUAGCUAGAAUGAAUGAAUAUCCAAGCUUAAAUGUGGGCAAAAGCUUAGUGCUAGCUAGCUACUUGCAAAAGAAAGUCUAGAACGAGUGUGGAUAAAGGGCAUGAGUGACAUGAUGGGUCAUAUAUAAAGGCGAGAUUGUAGCUUUUGGUCUAAUGUGAGUGGCGCUUUUUAAUUUUGUUUCCUGAUAGAAUGUGAUUUUAUUUUGCUUGUUUCUUUCCCUUUCUUC